Molecule: ribosomal RNA, 275 nt
Filed under: uncultured Mycobacterium sp.
Lineage: Bacteria; Bacillati; Actinomycetota; Actinomycetes; Mycobacteriales; Mycobacteriaceae
Description: partial 16S ribosomal RNA
Rfam family: Bacterial small subunit ribosomal RNA
Source: RNAcentral
CCUACGGGGGGCUGCAGUGGGGAAUAUUGCACAAUGGGCGCAAGCCUGAUGCAGCGACGCCGCGUGAGGGAUGACGGCCUUCGGGUUGUAAACCUCUUUCGCCAGGGACGAAGCGCAAGUGACGGUACCUGGAGAAGAAGCACCGGCCAACUACGUGCCAGCAGCCGCGGUAAUACGUAGGGUGCGAGCGUUGUCCGGAAUUACUGGGCGUAAAGAGCUCGUAGGUGGUUUGUCGCGUUGUUCGUGAAAACUCACAGCUUAACUGUGGGCGUGCG